GCCCAGCUAGCUUAGUCGGCAGAGCCUGAGAUUCUCAGUCUCAGGGUUGUGGGUUCGAACCCCACGUUAGGUG
Molecule: transfer RNA, 73 nt
Filed under: Neotoma lepida (desert woodrat)
Lineage: Eukaryota; Metazoa; Chordata; Mammalia; Rodentia; Cricetidae
Rfam family: tRNA
About the family: Transfer RNA (tRNA) molecules are approximately 80 nucleotides in length. Their secondary structure includes four short double-helical elements and three loops (D, anti-codon, and T loops). Further hydrogen bonds mediate the characteristic L-shaped molecular structure. tRNAs have two regions of fundamental functional importance: the anti-codon, which is responsible for specific mRNA codon recognition, and the 3' end, to which the tRNAs corresponding amino acid is attached (by aminoacyl-tRNA synthetases). tRNAs cope with the degeneracy of the genetic code in two manners: having more than one tRNA (with a specific anti-codon) for a particular amino acid; and 'wobble' base-pairing, i.e. permitting non-standard base-pairing at the 3rd anti-codon position.
Source: Rfam by way of RNAcentral